UUGACCUCGGAUCAGGUAGGGCUACCCGCUGAACUUAAGCAUAUCAA
Molecule: ribosomal RNA, 47 nt
Filed under: Talaromyces variabilis
Lineage: Eukaryota; Fungi; Ascomycota; Eurotiomycetes; Eurotiales; Trichocomaceae
Description: partial 28S ribosomal RNA
Source: RNAcentral